RNAcentral lists this long non-coding RNA (265 nucleotides) under Physcomitrium patens. Its description in RNAcentral is "long non-coding RNA (PPAT_LNC000817)". The record is from RNAcentral. Lineage: Eukaryota; Viridiplantae; Streptophyta; Bryopsida; Funariales; Funariaceae.
GAGGAUAAGAAAAGGAGACCACACGGAGUUAAAAGGGAUGACAGGAUAAAAAAAAGAGACCACACCAAGUUAAAAGGGAAGAGAGGAUAAGAAAAAGGGACCAUACAAAGUUAAAAGGGAGGAGUAGGAUAAGAAAAGGGAACCACACGGAGUUAAAAGGGAAGAGAGGAUAAGAAAAGAGAACCACACGGAGUUAAAAGGGAAGAGAGGAUAAAGAAAGGGGCAUUCGAGAGAUCGGGAUUUUGGAAUUGGAGAGCUAGCUUCA